UAAACAGUAGUAUAUAUAAUACGCUCAACUUCGGAUUGAAUAAUGCUAAGCCUGUUUAC
Molecule: transfer RNA, 59 nt
Filed under: Caprella scaura
Lineage: Eukaryota; Metazoa; Arthropoda; Malacostraca; Amphipoda; Caprellidae
Description: tRNA-Arg
Source: RNAcentral